Molecule: long non-coding RNA, 1099 nt
Organism: Apis dorsata (giant honeybee)
Lineage: Eukaryota; Metazoa; Arthropoda; Insecta; Hymenoptera; Apidae
Exons: 2
Source: RefSeq, a predicted model, not a curated record
AUAUAUAUACACGAGAGAAUCACGGAUCUUCCGUUUCAUGUUAAAUGUCUCUGCGAGCUGUUCGCGAGACCAGAAUGGUUUCCGCGAGCAAAAAUAAACUGCGGGUGUUGACUGGCAUUUUUACCAGUGCCUUUUAUCCCGGUUAGAAGAUAUAGACUACUUGGAAAAGGUUGAAUGGAUUUUUUUCGAGGAAAUAUCAAAAAUAUUUCGAUUCAAUGAUCUAUUAUAUACAAGUGGUUGAACAUGAGUACACUUAUUGUCGUCUGUUUGUUUCACCGAGAACUUGAUGGCAAAAUUAGUCGAAUGGAAGUCGGUCAACCGAAAUGCAGAUUACCAGUAUUAUUCUCACAACGUAAAUAGACACUGGGAAGCCAGGUGCGAGCCACAGUCGUUUUCGCGGCAGUUAAUCGCGAAUGGAAAUUGGAACAGUUUGUCGGAUCGGUAUUGACCCUUUUCCUGUCUCUUUUUCAUUCAUUUCAUACAGGUGCAAAAAUGAUUCGUAUUGUACUGAGUAUAUUAUAUCAUUUGAUGUAUUAUUGCAAUUUUUUGUGCUUACAUUCAAAACUUUGAAUGAUAGUAAACAUUCAGACGUUAAUUUCUGAAAAUAUUAUGUUUGAUUUAAUAUUUAUCAACAUUUUUCUAUUUAAUACGACCUAUAAAUAAAUCGCUUUUAUAACUUUCUCUAAUUUUCCAAAUAGAUUCCAACAUAAUCUUCAAGUUUAUAUCUCGAGUAUAUCUGAACGCAAGGCCACAAACUGAGUAUGAUUUAUGUUAGUUUAACAUGAAUUCCUCGCGUUUUCUUAACGUUCUAAGAAAGUGUUGAGAAAAUGCGGCAUAUUAUGUAACGUUACGUAUAAUUACUGUUUGGUCACAUCACAUAUGUUAAACCGAAUAUGUUGCGCACCUUUAGAGUUCGUUUAUACGAUGGAAAAGACAAAUGUUUGUCGAGUAAACCGAGCACGAUAUAUACCUGGCCUCUCGGACCACGACGAGCCAGCCACUGUGGAUAUUUUCUCUCUUCACGUGUCCAGUUCGUUUUCAACGAAGAAGAAGAAAUCAGCUAUAGAAACCGGGCGAGUUUCGCUCCUUAUGAAUGCAG